AGCAGCCUGAGGCAGGGGAAAGGGCACACACCACUCCAAAGGCUACCAUGCACUGAGCAUGCAUGCACCUGAAGUGGAAAAGGACACAUGCAACAUAGCACAAAGAACAACAGCUGCAGAACAGCUUCAUGGAUGUCCCAGAGAAAGGUGUGAGAGACAGACAGAUGAUCUACACAGGAGUGGACUGGCUAACAAAACGGAGGUCCAUCCAUGAAAGGGAAGAGCAGGGAGGAUUUAUUCCUGGAGUUGCACAGAGAAAUGAAUAAGGAUUUGGACUGAAGGUAUCACAUUUCUGUCAAUGCAAUUAUCUAAACUACUGUAUAGUAGGUGUU
RNAcentral lists this long non-coding RNA (332 nucleotides) under Gopherus agassizii (Agassiz's desert tortoise). Its description in RNAcentral is "lncRNA (ENSGAGG00000025201.1)". Lineage: Eukaryota; Metazoa; Chordata; Testudines; Testudinidae. The record is from RNAcentral.